RNAcentral lists this ribosomal RNA (622 nucleotides) under uncultured archaeon. RNAcentral describes it as "bacterial SSU rRNA". It matches the Rfam family "Archaeal small subunit ribosomal RNA", at positions 147 to 774 of the family's 1478-position model. The record is from RNAcentral.
UAAUACUCCAUAGAUUAGAGACACUGGAAUGUUCUUUAGUCGAAAGUUCUGGCGCCUUAGGAUGGAUCUGCGGUCGAUUAGGUUGUUGUUGGGGUAACGGCCCAACAAGCCUGUAAUCGAUACGGGUUGUGGGAGCAAGAGCCCGGAGAUGGAAUCUGAGACACGAUUCCAGGCCCUACGGGGCGCAGCAGGCGCGAAAACUUUACAAUGCAGGAAACUGUGAUAAGGGAACUCCGAGUGCCCGUAUACGCGGGCUGUCCAGGUGUUUAAAAAUCAUCUGAAGAAAGGGCCGGGCAAGACCGGUGCCAGCCGCCGCGGUAAUACCGGCGGCUCGAGUGGUGGCCACUAUUAUUGGGCUUAAAGCGUCCGUAGCUGGACCGAUAAGUCUCUUGGGAAAUCCGCCGGCUCAACCGGCGGGCGUCUAAGGGAUACUGUUAGUCUAGGGACCGGGAGAGGUGAGAGGUACUCCGGGGGUAGGAGUGAAAUCCUGUAAUCCCCGGGGGACCAACGAUGGCGAAGGCAUCUCACCAGAACGGCUCCGACAGUGAGGGACGAAAGCUGGGGGAGCGAACCGGAUUAGAUACCCGGGUAGUCCCAUCCGUAAACUAUGCGCGUUAGGUGU